UCAUAUAUUCUGAAGGUUCGAGUCUUUGUCCAUGGCUCCCUUCUUCAACUCCUUCAAUGAUCUGUGUUGCUCCCAGAUCCUGACUUUGUUUGCAAAUUGAGGUGGAGAAGCUUCAUUCUGCAAUCCUUGUUGUGCUAUCUGUGAAACAGGUUCUGCUUUAUCAGGUACCAAUGAAUAAGGGCUCCUUUUGUCAUCUGAAGCUAAUGUAGGCCAAUCAAUUAUUGACGAUGGUCGAGUCCUCAACAUCUCUUCAGCUGCCUUAGAUCUCACUUUUCGUACUUCCUCCAGGAUAUUCCAAGAACCAGUGGCGGAGGAAUUCCUAAACAGCUUGGAUGAAGGCAUAGAACUGCCACCAAAUAAAUUUGGUGUUUCUUCCUUAAAAAGCUGUAUCCCC
RNAcentral lists this unclassified non-coding RNA (394 nucleotides) under Hevea brasiliensis (rubber tree). Lineage: Eukaryota; Viridiplantae; Streptophyta; Magnoliopsida; Malpighiales; Euphorbiaceae. The record is from RNAcentral.